UCCCUGGUGGUCCAGUGGUUAGGAGUCAGUGCUUUCACUCUUGUGGCCUAGGUUCAAUCCCUGGUUGGGGAA
This is a non-coding RNA of Bos taurus (domestic cattle), 72 nucleotides long. Lineage: Eukaryota; Metazoa; Chordata; Mammalia; Artiodactyla; Bovidae. The record is from Rfam.